Long non-coding RNA from Syngnathus typhle (broad-nosed pipefish), 1225 nucleotides. RefSeq lists it as uncharacterized. The transcript is spliced from 6 exons. The record is from RefSeq and is a predicted model, not a curated record. Lineage: Eukaryota; Metazoa; Chordata; Actinopteri; Syngnathiformes; Syngnathidae.
UCACAAAUGAUAGAUUUCAAACUAGUACUACAGUUUGCCGCUGUUAAUGUCAGCCAGACGUUCAAGCAAUACAUGUAUGAAGAGAUCCUUUGGGUUUUGUUUCAUACAGAGCAUAAGAAGAGGAACAUAACAUGGUUGUUCACAAUCCCCUGAGCAUCUGACAGUUCCUGGUCAUGAAGAACAACACCAUGUUGGAUAAAGCUACCUUCUCCGCUAACCUGGCCUGGUGCAAGAUGCACACAGGAGUUACAACCCUUUUUCCAAUUUGUAUUGGAACUCAUAACACUACACGUAGUGGUUGAUUUGUUUGGAAUUGGACGUUGAUGCAAGCCCUGAUGCAGGAGGUCCCCACUGCUGACACAGACACAUGAAAAAGGCCACGCUGGAGUUUGCAAUCCCCUACCUGGAGAAGCCAAAAUCCUUCUCUGCUUAGUGGUGACGUGCGGUGAUGGGUCAUGGAUAAACAGCUGCCAGGGAAGGAGGGAGCCUGAAAAGUUCACGUCGAAAGAUGGAGGUCCGUGAAAGACAGAGGGAGCUCCGCAGGGGAUCUUCAAAAGUUAGUUGUGAUUGUCUGGUCCGGAAUACUUUUGGUGCAGAAGCGCCAACAACCGUGUCUGAUAUGACCUGCAAGUCGAAGAAGAAUACUUUGCAAAAUGAAGAGGUGGCAAGUCAUAUGCUUGAGCUCCAAAUGAAGUUGGCACACUUCCAGAGUGAGAUUUCCUGUCUGCAAAGCCUCCAGAAAGACAACAUGAAGGAAAUUGCUGAGAAAGACCUCAGCAUCACUAAACUGCAAGCAAGCCUUUUGCUGCUGCGACAGGAGCGUGUCAACACGCACGCUCAGGUGCGUAGAAACACACGUCUCGUUUUGCUUUACAGGAUCGUGCCUUCAAUUGAUGUCUUGAUGUUUUAAGGGAAUUCGAAAUGACCUCUCAUCAUUUAUUUUUUCACGAUAUAUAUCACAACAGAUGGAGGAGAUGAGUAGGGCAGACAUGCCAAAUGUUUAAAAGUGGGCUGAGGGAAGCUACUAUUUAGAAUGUGGAGGUAUUUAUACAGCAAAUGGAUCCAAAAAUGGAUGACAAUAUGGAAAUGAGGCAGCAUUAAUUCUCCUCAGCAUCCCUGCGUUUUAAUCGACUUCCAGGAUGAAAAUGAGUAACUCCAUCAUUAACCGAGGGAAGAUCAUUUCAACUAAUUAAAGACCAACAUGGUUUUCCAAUUACAAAAUUAU